UACAGAGGUGCCAAGCGUUAGGCGGAAUCACUGGGCUUAAAGCGCGUGUAGGCGGGUCGUUAAGUGUCCGAGUGAAAUCCCACGGCUCAACCGUGGAACUGCCGGGCAUACUGGCGAUCUUGAGGCAUUCAGGGGCGAGCGGAACAAAUGGUGGAGCGGUGAAAUGCGUAGAUAUCAUUUGGAACGCCAAUGGUGAAAACAGCUCGCUGGGAAUGAUCUGACGCUGAGACGCGAAAGCCAGGGGAGCAAACGGG
Molecule: ribosomal RNA, 254 nt
Filed under: uncultured bacterium
Lineage: Bacteria
Description: partial 16S ribosomal RNA
Rfam family: Bacterial small subunit ribosomal RNA
Source: RNAcentral